CCUUGACAUGUCAGAAAGAUCGCAGAGAUGUGAUUGUGCCCGAAAGGGAAUCUGAACACAGGUGCUGCAUGGCUGUCGUCAGCUCGUGUCGUGAGAUGUUGGGUUAAGUCCCGCAACGAGCGCAACCCUUGCCAUUAAUUGCCAUCAUUCAGUUGGGCACUUUAAUGGGACUGCCGGUGAUAAACCGGAGGAGGGUGGGGAUGACGUCAAGUCCUCAUGGCCCUUAUGGGUAGGGCUUCACACGUAAUACAAUGGUCGGUACAGAGGGUCGCCAACCCGCGAGGGGGAGCCAAUCUCAGAAAGCCGAUCGUAGUCCGGAUUGUUCUCUGCAACUCGAGAGCAUGAAGUCGGAAUCGCUAGUAAUCGCGGAUCAGCAUGUCGCGGUGAAUACGUUCCCGGGUCUUGUACACACCGCCCGUCACACCAUGGGAGCGGGUUCUGCCAGAAGUAGUUAGUCUAACCGCAAGGAGGGCGAUUACCACGGCAGGGUUCGUGACUGGGGUG
This 504-nucleotide ribosomal RNA is filed under the name uncultured bacterium. Its description in RNAcentral is "bacterial SSU rRNA". It matches the Rfam family "Bacterial small subunit ribosomal RNA", at positions 979 to 1482 of the family's 1533-position model. The record is from RNAcentral.